UGAUAAGUAUCAUUCUUUGUUAAUGUAACCAUGGUUUGUCAUGUUUGCCAAAGACUGGAAGAAAAUUGAGCCAACAGCUGGAAGUCAGAAGUUCCCCAUGCCUGCCCUACACAUCCAGGCUCUGAGUUUUUACUUUUUCUACUAUAUUGCCAUGCAAGUAACUUUAACUUUGCUUCUCUGUUCUCUGUCACUGAGAAAUACCAUGUCUCCAUGGCAAUAGGAAUGCAUUUACCUUCACCAAACCUGCUCAAAUCCUUGCCGAACAGGACGUAGCAGGAGUUGACUUUCCGAUGGUGGAGGUUCAGAGUACAGCCUGCAGCCACAGAGAAAAGUUGCUUGUUCCUGAAAUGCAGACACACCUCCAAUCCAGAGAGCAAGUCAUCUCGUGGAGGAAGUGGUAGCUGUAAAAAUUCAAAUGGAAAAGGCAUAGGUGCUGUUUAUAAACCAGCCCAGCUUUGGCUCAGGACAAGCCACCCAUCUCCAGGGGCUGGCGUGUGUGACUCUGCUGACCGCAGCUGCUGACCUGUCUCCUGUACACUCUGGAUGCUGUGAUGCCCAGACAGCAAAACUUCUUUUCAGGCUCCCCAAGAAGGCAGGGACCCCAGUUCUCUCAAGAGCUAACGUUAGAGCAAAUCAGUCUCAAGAGGGAGUCCCAGAAUCAAGAGGAAAUAUGGGCUUGCUCCUUGAUCCUGGAGUAGAGCACAUCUUCCCUGCCUGCAUGGCCAUGCUGUGAAUCUGCAGCUCAGAAGUUGGUCUCCCUAAUGCCACACUCUGGAACCAUGUCAGCCACAUGAUUGUGGCUUCCUGAGGCCACGGCGUGUGCACUCUGCCUGUUCAUGUUGUGUUUUCCUGGUGAUUCUUUCCUAUGCUAUUCAGUAAUAAGGCUGAUCUGCCAUAGCAACGCCCACAGCCAAUGGCACCUGCACAGUGCGUUCCUUCUCUGCUCCACAAUAUUUCCUUAAAGAAACACACACCUGGAAAUUGAAUUUCUGGAAUGAUUCCCAGAUGCUUUCCAGAGGAAGCCUGGCGACGUGGGCAAACAGCCCUUUAUUUUCCACCACGGGAACAAAUAUUUCUGAUCUUUCUUUAGUGUUGGGGCUGCAUGCAAUAAAUACUCAGGUGACACUUUUCUGGGUGGCAGUGGUGAGUGAUGGGAAUGAGGCUAAAUCAAUACUUGUCAGUUUGUGUCAUUUCCACCAGCACUGAGAGGGUGACUGUUUCAGUAUCCAAGCGGAAAUUGUGGACUCAGGGCAAAAAGACAGAGAUGAAAAUUCAGUAGUUAUCUUCAGAGGGAAAGAAUUUUAAGCUGUGGGGAUGGAUAAAAUCUCUAUGGAAGGGAAAAAAGGAGAGACAGACAGAUGAAAGGAGAUGGGGCCUUUGAUCAUAUAAUUCAUUGCCCAAACUGGAACAACUUUGAGAGUGAAAGGAGGUCACUAUUAAUAGUGACACUGGGGCCUCAGAUGUAAACUAGGAUUGUCUUGGGCACGCAGGGACUUAUGGUUGCCCUAAUGCUAGGGUCAGUCUAUUGAAGGGGCCAAUGAUGAUAGCCUGACCUUUGCCACAGCCCUGACACUUGCCACAUAACAGUAGGGAGUGGUAAUGAGGCAGUCACUCAAUAUAGCUCAGAACAUAAGACCUUCUGGUAGGGUCUUCACUGGGGGUGGGGGAUGGUGCUUCACGAACUCCUGAAACUUGUCUUCCCUUGGCUGCCAAAGGCCUCCCUCCCUUCUCUCAUCUUCCUCUUUCCGAGGGGAUGAGGGAGGUACCGUGAGGCCGGGACACAGAUGUCCAUGUGCUCUCCAAAUGUCUUGGGGGAGGGGAGAAAACUAUAACUCUUGGAAAUUUGAUAGAAUUGUCAAAAGAAUAUAAUCAGCUACAUACAUUGUUUAACCAAAGUUAUAGUUCUAUGAUAAAAGAUAAAAAAUUUUCUUUUAUGAGAAUAAAAUACCUAGGAAUCCAACUUACAAGGGAUGUGAAGGACCUCUUCAAGGAGAACUACAAACCACUGCUCAAGGAAAUAAAAGAGGAUACAAACAAAUGGAAGAACAUUCCAUGCUCAUGGGUAGGAAGAAUCAAUAUCGUGAAAAUGGCCAUACUGCCCAAGGUAAUUUAUAGAUUCAAUGCCAUCCCCAUCAAGCUACCAAUGACUUUCUUCACAGAAUUGGAAAAAACUACUUUAAAGUUCAUAUGGAACCAAAAAAGAGCCCGCAUCGCCAAGUCAAUCCUAAGCCAAAAGAACAAAGUUGGAGGCAUCACACCACCUGACUUCAAACUAUACUACAAGGCUACAGUCACCAAAACAGCAUGGUACUGGUACCAAAACAGAGAUAUAGAUCAAUGGAACAGAACAGAGCCCUCAGAAAUAACGCCGCAUAUCUACAACUAUCUGAUCUUUGACAAACCUGAGAAAAACAAGCAAUGGGGAAAGGAUUCCCUAUUUAAUAAAUGGUGCUGGGAAAACUGGCUAGCCAUAUGUAGAAAGCUGAAACUGGAUCCCUUCCUUACACCUUAUACAAAAAUCAAUUCAAGAUGGAUUAAGGACUUAAACGUUAGACCUAAAACCAUAAAAACCCUAGAAGAAAACCUAGGCAUUACCAUUCAGGACAUAGGCAUGGGCAAGGACUUCAUGUCUAAAACACCAAAAGCAAUGGCAACAAAAGCCAAAAUUGACAAAUGGAUCUAAUUAAACUAAAGAGCUUCUGCACAGCAAAAGAAACUACCAUCAGAGUGAACAGGCAACCUACAAAAUGGGAGAAAAUUUUUGCAACCUACUCAUCGGACAAACGGCUAAUAUCCAGAAUCUACAAUGAACUCAAACAAAUUUACAAGAAAAAAACAAACAACCCCAUCAACAAGUGGGCGAAGGACAUGAACAGACACUUCUCAAAAGAAGACAUUUAUGCAGCCAAAAAACACAUGAAAAAAUGCUCAUCAUCACUGGCCAUCAGAGAAAUGCAAAUCAAAACCACAAUGAGAUACCAUCUCACACCAGUUAGAAUGGUGAUCAUUAAAAAGUCAGGAAACAACAGGUGCUGGAGAGGAUGUGGAGAAAUAGGAACACUUUUACACUGUUGGUGGGACGGUAAACUAGUUCAACCAUUGUGGAAGUCAGUGUGGCGAUUCCUCAGGGAUCUGGAAGUAGAAAUACCAUUUGACCCAGCCAUCCCAUUACUGGGUAUAUACCCAAAGGACUAUAAAUCAUGCUGCUAUAAAGACACAUGCACACGUAUGUUUAUUGCGGCAUUAUUCACAAUAGCAAAGACUUGGAACCAACCCAAAUGUCCAACAAUGAUAGACUGGAUUAAGAAAAUGUGGCACAUAUACACCAUGGAAUACUAUGCAGCCAUAAAAAAGGAUGAGUUCAUGUCCUUUGUAGGGACAUGGAUGAAAUUGGAAAUCAUCAUUCUCAGUAAACUGUCGCAAGAACAAAAAACCAAACACCGCAUAUUCUCACUCAUAGGUGGGAAUUGAACAAUGAGAUCACAUGGACACAGGAAGGGGAAUAUCACGCUCUGGGGACUGUUGUGGGGUGGGGGGAGGGAGUAGGGGUAGCAUUGGGAGAUAUACCUAAUGCUAGAUGACGAGUUAGUGGGUGCAGCACACCAGCAUGGCACAUGUAUACAUAUGUAACUAACCUGCACAAUGUGCACAUGUACCCUAAAACUUAAAGUAUAAUAAAAAAAAAUGGCAAAAAAAAA
Molecule: long non-coding RNA, 3698 nt
Organism: Gorilla gorilla gorilla (western lowland gorilla)
Lineage: Eukaryota; Metazoa; Chordata; Mammalia; Primates; Hominidae
Exons: 2
Source: RefSeq, a predicted model, not a curated record